CCGCGUGAGUGAUGAAGGUUUUCGGAUCGUAAAACUCUGUUAUUAGGGAAGAACAAAUGUGUAAGUAACUGUGCACAUCUUGACGGUACCUAAUCAGAAAGCCACGGCUAACUACGUGCCAGCAGCCGCGGUAAUACGUAGGUGGCAAGCGUUAUCCGGAAUUAUUGGGCGUAAAGCGCGCGUAGGCGGUUUCUUAAGUCUGAUGUGAAAGCCCACGGCUCAACCGUGGAGGGUCAUUGGAAACUGGGAAACUUGAGUACAGAAGAGGAAAGUGGAAUUCCAUGUGUAGCGGUGAAAUGCGCAGAGAUAUGGAGGAACACCAGUGGCGAAGGCGACUUUCUGGUCUGUAACUGACGCUGAUGUGCGAAAGCGUGGGGAUCAAACAGGAUUAGAUACCCUGGUAGUCCACGCCGUAAACGAUGAGUGCUAAGUGUUAGGGGGUUUCCGCCCCUUAGUGCUGCAGCUAACGCAUUAAGCACUCCGCCUGGGGAGUACGACCGCAAGGUUGAAACUCAAGGGAAUUGACGGGGACCCGCACAAGCGGUGGAGCAUGUGGUUUAAUUCGAAGCAACGCGAAGAACCUUACCAAUCUUGACAUCCUUUGAAAACUCUAGA
Molecule: ribosomal RNA, 615 nt
Filed under: Staphylococcus equorum
Lineage: Bacteria; Bacillati; Bacillota; Bacilli; Caryophanales; Staphylococcaceae
Description: bacterial SSU rRNA
Rfam family: Bacterial small subunit ribosomal RNA
Source: RNAcentral